AACGCGAAGAACCUUACCUGGGCUCGAAAUGUAGUGGAAUACGGUGGAAACAUCGUCGUCUCGCAAGAGACUGCUAUAUAGGUGCUGCAUGGCUGUCGUCAGCUCGUGUCGUGAGAUGUUGGGUUAAGUCCCGCAACGAGCGCAACCCUUAUCCCUAGUUGCCAUCGGGUCAAGCCGGGCACUCUAGUGAAACCGCUCAGGAUAACUGGGAGGAAGGUGGGGAUGACGUCAAGUCCUCAUGGCCUUUAUGUCCAGGGCUACACACGUGCUACAAUGGUCGGUACAAACCGUCGCAAACCCGCGAGGGGGAGCUAAUCGGAAAAAGCCGGCCUCAGUUCGGAUUGCAGGCUGCAACUCGCCUGCAUGAAGCUGGAAUCGCUAGUAAUGCUAUAUCAGAACGAUAGCGUGAAUACGUUCCCGGGCCUUGUACACACCGGUACUA
This 442-nucleotide ribosomal RNA is filed under the name uncultured bacterium. Its description in RNAcentral is "bacterial SSU rRNA". It matches the Rfam family "Bacterial small subunit ribosomal RNA", at positions 958 to 1398 of the family's 1533-position model. The record is from RNAcentral.